AAAUGGAAGACAAAUCUAGGUCAUGAAGAUACCUCCAAUUAUGAAAGGGAUGACAGAACAACACUACUGAGAUAAGGCAAGUUGCUUCAGGGAAAUGUAUUUUUUCUAAUUAUAAAUUUAUUAAACCCAGUGGUUCUUAAAAGGAGGCAAUUUUACCCCAGGGAACAUUUGGCGAUGUCGAGGCAUUUUAGGUUUCACGACUGGUGAGAAACUAUUGGCAUCUAGUGGAUAGAGGCCAGACAUGCUGCUAAUCAUCCUACAAUGCACUGAACAAACUCCUAUAGCAAAAAUAAUCCAGCCUAAAAUGUCAAUACUGCCAAGGUUGAAAAACUCUGAUAUGACGCUCUCAAGACUACUAACCAUAUUACAUUGAGCUUGAAAUACCCAAGUUGACACUGAGAGCAGUAGCCUCACCACAAAAUGGUUAUUUUAGUCUUGCCUAGAGAGAAACCAUCCUCUCAGAUGCAAUUCUCUAAAGGAAUUAGGCAAAAACAUUACUUUUGUGGAUGCAGGCAUUUAUUCUUGUAUCCUGAGUUAAAAUCGAGCAAACUCAGCUAUUUUGUGUUUCCUGUGUCAUUAUUUUAUAUCGUGAUUUCAAAAUAGUCUUUUUCAAUCUCUAGCCCAAAAAAAGCACCUAAUAUUAGUUAAAGUCCUAUUGAAAAAUAUAACAAUCCAGAAAGCUAGUCAGAUUUUAAGGUAUUGCUUAGCACUAUCAAAUCAGAAAGUAUAAUCAAGAGCUAUGCUGUGGUUUCAAGUACCCCCUCUGUGUCUGAUAGACUUUUGUGAUUGACAUCAGUCUUCUCUGUAUUUCAAAUAAACGUUAGUAACCAACAUUUACAAAGGAAAAACCGAUUAGGUCAACAAUUGAAAAGGAGUUUCUAAAAUCUCCUGAAAUGAGGGAGUUCCCAUCAUGGCACAGUGGUUAACGAAUCCGACUAGGAACCAUGAGGUUGCGGGUUCGAUCCCUGGCCUUGCUCAGUGGGUUAACGAUCCGGCGUUGCCAUGAGCUGUGGUGUAGGUUGCAGAUGCGGCUCGGGUCCUGCGUUGCUGUGGCUCUGGAGUAGGCUGGCAGCUAUCGCGCCAAUUCGACCCCUAGCCUGGGAACCUCCAUAUGCCACAGGAGCGGCCCAAUGGCAAAAAGACAAAAUAAAAUAAAAUAAAAUCUCCUGAAAUGAAUACAGUGGACUAUGCUGACUAGAAAUAAAAUGUCUAAUGUCACUCAUUCCUACUUUCAAAUCUGUUGUCCUCUUAAUUACAAUGUGGGGGCUUGUAUGCAAAGAUGGCUAGUAUCAAUUUAUUCCUUUCCUACACAUGCAAGCCACUUUCUUAUCAAAUGCAGUCUAUGUCCUCACCCACUUGAGCUUUAGCUGGCUUGGGACUGCUUUCACAGUUAAAAUAUAAGCAGAAAUGAUGUUGCACCUGAGUUGAGGCUGCGUCUUUAGGAAGACUAGUGCGUCUAAGACUGUUUUCUCCUUCUUAGAACUCAGUCUCCAUGCUCUGAGACAGCCAAAGCAGCACCGCAGACAGGUUCAUGUGAGCAAGAAUCUAGGCUUCUAGGCAACAGCCCUGGCUGAGCUACCAUGUGACAGCAAUAAAAGAUUUGUUUACCAUGUGAGUAAGCCACUUAGAACAGCAUCUAUCAGCCUCAUUUGGGCCAACUCAUAGCAUAGAGGACAGAGGCAAAUAUACCAGACAUAAUGUUGUCCAAUUAAAGAUUCAUGAGGAAAUAACUUUAUUUGUUUGUUUUUUUCUUUUUACAGCUGUGCCUGUGGUAUGUGGAAGUUCCCAGGCCAGGGGUGUGACCCUAAAAAGCAAUAAAAUAAAAUAAAAUUGAAUAACACAAAUGACUCUAUAUACAAAACAGAAACAGACUCACAGAUGUAGAAAACAAAUUAAUGGUUACCAGAGGGGAGAGGGGGAUUAGGACUAUGGAACUAACAGAUAUAAACUACUAUAUAUAAAAUAGACAAGCAAAAAGGAUUUACAGUAUAGCAUAAGGAAUUAUAUUCAAUAUCCUGUCAUGACCUAUAAUGGAAAAUAAUCUGAAAAA
Molecule: long non-coding RNA, 2050 nt
Filed under: Sus scrofa (pig)
Lineage: Eukaryota; Metazoa; Chordata; Mammalia; Artiodactyla; Suidae
Description: lncRNA (ENSSSCG00060058746.1)
Source: RNAcentral